UGAAUCUUUAUAAUAAAUCUGAUCUUUUCACCCAAAAAUCAGUGGUUGUUCUGGCUGUGCAUUUUUAUCCAAUGGCCAUGUACGUCAUGUCACGGGAUCUUUGUCCAUAGAAACAAACAAUACAUAUUACAUAGGGAAGACCCCACCCCAGCAACCACAAAGCCCGAGACGGAUAAACUCGAGCAUGCCACAACAAAACACAUAAUCCAUUUUGCCUUCUCACCUUCAAAAAUCGCCAUCAAUCAGACAUGCUUUCAGUUUUCUUCUGUCACCUCAGCAUCCUCUCCGUUGCCUUCGAUUCAUUAUUUUGUAGGUGCCUCGUCAUUUGUUAGCAUAAGAUGAACCCCAACCUCUCCAUUGCCGUCAUUAUGCGGCCCCGGCGCCUCUCGUUGAAGAGCAGUUGCUCCCAAGCAUAGUUCCCCCGUUCAUCUUCAGUUCGAGGACCUGCACAAUAAUUCAUAAAAGGAGCAAGCAUAAUAGAUAAAUUCGGCAAAUGACCUAAUCAUCUUGAACUCAAAACAAGCUCUGUUCCUGAGCUUCCCUAUUGCCCAACAUAUUGUAGCUAAACAUAUGUAUGGUAGAUUCCUACUUCCAGGAAUGAAAUUAGGAGUCCACCAAACAUAUUGUGUAAAGCAACCAGGUCUAGAUUUUGCCCCCAAACAUUUACUGGCAGUACUUCAAGCAUAUUACGCCGUAUAACGCCUAAAGAACAGAUGCAAAAUAGAUUCAUUUUCCCUGGCAAAAUGAGUCCACUUCCUUUUUACCAUGUGAUCUUUUGUUGCAAUGGCAUCGUGCCAAAAUAAGCCACAACCAUAUCUUAAUUUUUAGUGGUACUUUAGCUUUUCAUGGAUGUUUAAAAGACCUGUCAGGACCAGCAUAAGAUAAAAAUGAUAAUAAAUAGUUUUCACUAAAAAAAGGCAGUUUUGUUCCAUUUCCAUCUAGGGGCAUCCUCAUCUUGGCUCAGCUUAUUGUACUAAGAAAACUUCUCAAAUGAUUGUGGUCCCGCGACUAGGCGACUAGGGUUCCCCCUCCCCACCUCCCGCCGCCGCCGGCCCCGCGCCCCACCACCACCCCCUUCCCCCCUCCCCUCUCCCUCGUCCAGACCCGCCUCGCGCCGCCUCCCCGGGAGGUGGCCGGGGCGGAGCUCGUGCCCCUCUUCCGCAGGCCCCAUCCUCCCCUUUUUCCUCUCGCCGCCGCCGGCGGUCGCUGGCGCUGGCCCGGGUGGUUCCGGCGGCGGCGGGCCUUCCCUUUCNNNNNNNNNNNNNNNNNNNNNNNNNNNNNNNNNNNNNNNNNNNNNNNNNNNNNNNNNNNNNNNNNNNNNNNNNNNNNNNNNNNNNNNNNNNNNNNNNNNNNNNNNNNNNNNNNNNNNNNNNNNNNNNNNNNNNNNNNNNNNNNNNNNNNNNNNNNNNNNNNNNNNNNNNNNNNNNNNNNNNNNNNNNNNNNNNNNNNNNNNNNNNNNNNNNNNNNNNNNNNNNNNNNNNNNNNNNNNNNNNNNNNNNNNNNNNNNNNNNNNNNNNNCGACCCUGCGGCGGCGGCAGGCGUGGUGUCGGCGCCGCUCCUUGGCGGCGGGGCGGCGUGGUGGUGCUGGGUGGCCGUUGUCGCGACCCCGGCCCAGAUCUGGGCCCGGCGGGCCCCAUCUAGGUCCUAGCGGGCCGGCUCCCCGGCGUGGCCUCGUUGUCUGCGGCGCGGUGAGGAGGAGCGGCUCAGAUGUGGGGCGUCGGCGUCGACAGCGUGCCGGCAGCAGCGCGAAGGCGGGAGCUUUACGGGCCCACGAGGGCUCGGCCGGGCCUAUGGGCCCACGGGCCUAGUGUGCUCCUGCUAUUGCGUCUGGACGGCUACCGUCGCGGACGGUGGAGGUGGGGCCCUCCCGCGUGCCGACGAUGCCGAUGCCCUAGUCCCGGCUCUGAUUCUUCGUCGCGCUGUCCUCACUUCGCGGUGCCGUGGUGAGACGGCGUGGGGGCCUUAUGUCCGCGUUGGCGCAGGGUAGUGGUUGGUCUGGUGGCUGGAUCCGGAGCUCCCGAGGUGCGGGUUGGGAUCGGGGGAAACCCCUGUCGGCGUGUCCGACACCGGCGCGGUGACGCCUGUGGGCGCCACCUGACCUUCCGGGAGGGCGUCGGGGGCUACCCUUCCUUUCGCCUCGUCGUGUACCGGGGGAAACCCUUGGCAGCAGCGUCGCCAUCGUCGCGAUCCUUCUUGAAGGUGUUGAUAGGUGCCGGCGCUCCGGAGUCUUGAAGCCUAGUGGAAGAUUCUGGUGGGCGCAGUGGUCGCGAGGCUUCUUCGUUUUUGUUGAUCCGCCGUUGUCGGCAUUUGUUUCUUUGUUCUUUUUCUGUCAUUUCUUUUGGGCGUGACUGUGCUGCUUCCGCCCAGCAUCUAUCCAUGUAUAGUUCGGUUGGUUGUUUUGUAUAUAAAGCGAGGGAAAACCCUUUUUCAGAAAAACUUCUCAAAUCAUUCAACUGCCUCGUAUGCCCAUUGUUUAGCCAUCUUCUAAAGGUCAGAGCAUAUCCAGCAUCAGCCAUUUGACUAACAGUUUUCUCUGUUUCGUUCCAUAUUGCGUAGAGCUCAGGGAAGAUUGUUAUAAGGGGCAGAUCUCCACACCAGCAAUCAUUCCAAAAUUCAGUUUGCUCAAGCUCAACAAUGACAAUGUCUCCGAUGUUACACGUUCGAGAGAAUGAAGAAGGUCGGUCCCAAGGAAGUUUGAUGUACUACUCCCUCCGUUCUUUUUUUAUAAAACGUUUCAAAUAGCUGACAUUGAAUUGUUUUGAGCGUUGUCUGAAAUAUCUACAACGUCUUAAAAAAGUGAAUAAAGGGAGUAGUAAUUUUACUCCCUCCGUUCCUAAUUAUAAGGUUUUUUAGACAUUUUAAAUGGAUUACAAGAUACGGUUGUAUGUAGACAUAUUUUGGAGUGUAGAUUCACUCAAUUUGCUCCUUAACUAGUCAUUUGUUGGAAUCUUUAGAAAGACCUAUACUCCCUCCGUUCCCAAAUAUUUGUCUUUCUAGACAUUUUAAAUGGACAUAACAUACGGAUGUAUGUAGACAUAUUUUAGAGUGUAGAUUCACUUAUUUUGUUUCGUAUGUAAUCACUUGUUGAAAUCUCUAGAAAGAUAAAUAUUUGGGAACGGAGGGAGUAUUUGGGAAGGGGGGAGUAUUUAUUAAGGGUGUUUGUACUGCUAUGUUUGGUUAACAGACAUGAGUGUUCUUUUUGGAAAGAAAAACAACAAGUACAGUACCCUUCACUCUUUUCUUUUCUUUUUUUAGCACAGUACACUUCACUCUUAACUCAACUUUGCUACAGAGAGUGGGGGAAUUUCAGCUGUAGUACACCCAUGCUCUUCUACAUGGAGCGAACAGAACAGUUUAACACACCCACGCAGGCUCCCGGCGGACGGACGUCUGACGCGCAGCCAGACGAUGAGACGAGGCCCGCCGGCCGCCGCGAUGCCACCAACGUCCACCUCGCCGGGGGACCUAGUGGCGCUCUCCGCCCGGUGCUCCACGAAGCGCGACCUCCGCCUCCUCCACGGCGCUCUCCUGCGCCGCCGCCACCUCCUCCCCACCGCGGACGCCGUCGCGGCGCUCGCCAAGCUGCUCCGGUUCGCCGCCGUCUCCCCCGCCGGCGACCUCCGCCAAGCAGCCGCGAUGCUCUCCACCCACCUCCCCUUCAUCACCUCGGCCUCCUCCCACCCCGCCUUCUUCUACAACACCCUCAUGCGCGGCCUCGCCGCCUCCUCCUCGCCCAGCGACGCCAUCGGGCUCUUCGCCGCGAUGCGCCGCGCGGGCGCCGCGCCCGACGCCUUCACCUUCACCUUCGUCCUCAAGUCCUGCGCUCGCUGCCCCUCGGGCCGGCGAUUACCUUCCGACCUCCACGCCCAGGCGAUCAGGCACGGCUGCCUCGGCGCGCACACGCACGUGCACAAUGCGCUGCUUCACGCCUACGCGUGCCGGGCGGCCGUCGACGACGCGUGCAGGGUGUUUGAGGAAAUUCCGGUUCGGGACGUGGUUUCGUUCUCAGGGCUACUCACUGCGCAUCUCAAAGCCAGUGAUUUGGAUGCCGCCCGUGUUGUGUUCGACAAGAUGCCUCACCGGGAUGUCGUUUCUUGGACUGCGGUGAUUUCAGCAUAUGCCAAGGCUUGCCGGCCACAGGAGGCCCUGGCAUUGUUUGAUGCCAUGCCGAUGCAGCCAGACGAGGUGACCAUGGUGAGUAUCGUGUCUGCGUGCACCACGCUCGGGGAUCUUGCAACUGGGGAGCGCGUGCGGAGGCACAUUGAUUCCCUUGGUUUUGGAUGGAUGGUGUCACUUCACAACGCACUCAUGGACAUGUAUGCUAAGUGUGGUUCCCUCCCUGAAGCUCGAGCUUUGUUUGAUGGGAUGACGGUGAGGAGCUUGGCAUCUUGGAACACGCUGAUCUCGGCAUAUGCAUCACAUGGCGAUCUGGACAACACGAUUGCUGUGUUCUAUCAGUUGCUGGCAGAAGGGAACACUGUGAGGCCAGAUGGGGUGACGCUUCUUGCAGUGCUCAUGGCGUACACGCACAAGGGCUGUGUUGAGGAGGGGCGAGCCAUGUUCAAUGCGAUGCAGCGAGGCGACUUUGGCAAAGUGGAAUUCACAGUCGAACACUAUGGGUGUCUGGUGGACAUGCUUGGUCGGGCAGGGAAACUCGAGGAGGCAUACCAAAUGAUUGAGCAAAUGCCAAUUCCAAGCAAUGCUGUGAUCUGGGGCGUGCUACUUGGUGCUUGUCGGACUCAUGGGGAUAUUGACAUGGCAGAGCGGGCUGUGCAGGAGUUAAGGAACCUAAACCCAGAGGAAGGUGGGUACUACAUUUUGCUCAGUGAUAUGUACACAUCUGCUGGUCGGAUAGCAGAGGCCACGGAGAUUAGACGUGCCAUGAAUGAGAAGGGGGUCCAGAAGACUACAGGCCGGACCACUGCCUUUCUGCCUCAGCUGUAGUUUACUUACCGUCAUUGGCUAUCCUUCAGAUCACAAUUCACAAGCAUGCCAUGCCAGCCAGAUGGUACAUACCAAUCUAUCUUCUCUUCACACCAGAUAAGCAUAUGGAUUAGUCACAUUUGUCUUAGUCUUAUUUCCAAGGUGUGAUGAUUGAUAUCAAUGGUGUAAGGCUGUCGGCAACUAAGGUUCAGGUAAUCAAAAUACCUGUGCUGAUAGACUAGUUGAGUCGAGUCAGGUGAUGGUACAUAGACAAUGGCCACACCAAAGCCAGUUUCAGUAUGUAUGCAUGUUAAGCAUAGCCCAGUUUAGCUGUCACUUACAUUAUUGUGUAUUUAUGUACGAGUCCAUACUUGAUGCUUACACACAAAAAAGUGGCAUUUGCGGUAGGCCUGAAUUUUAAAACCAACCCCUUCAGCAUCUUAAGUCUUGACUACCAGGUGCACACAGUCAUUAUAUGAUUGCCUCUGGCAUGGGCGAGAAACAAGUGCGUAUUUCCAAGACUGGUAUCAUCUCACCUUGUGCGGCUCACUAAUAAAUGUGGCUGCCAGAACCCAGAAGUUGAUGAAAUUACCAACUUCAAGUGAUUAUACCUUGUGGGCUCCAGCCAUAGUUACUUUAACAAACUUCAAGUAAGUACUUAAAGUUCCAGAAGUCUUUAAAUUUGAACUCUUGCCUUGCUGGUUUUGGAGGGAUUGUUAGCAUAAACUUAGCAAUAAUGUAUAACUUUUUUUUAGAAAAGCAGUGUGGCACACUACAAUCAUUUUCCGUUGAGCUAUUAGCAAGUGAUAGGUUUUCUUGGAAUUAAUUUGGUGGUUGUUGAACCAUAAAUUGACUGUUUUUUAGAAUCCCAUGAGUUGACAGUUAAAGUCCACAAAAAUGUCUUGCGAUCUUCAUUUUAACAAGUUCUGGGGAUCCCUCACAGAUUCCAUGUUGAUUAAGGCUGCGUUCGGAAUCCCUCCGCUCCAUAACUCCUUCGCGGAGCGGAGUGGCAUUCAGUAGAAAUUUGGGGAGCGGCCAAUAGGUAGCUCCGCGCGCUCCGCUCCCUGAUGAAGGAGCGUGCGAUUGCCGAACACAGCCUAAGUUUACCCAUUCGCUACGUAUGAUUGGCGAUUCCCUGUUCGCAUCUUUGUUAUAAAAGCUCAUCAUGUCCUGGGAAGGGAAUUUCUUUUCACUUUGGGUGCUUAACAUUUUGCAUGUUUGAUGGAUGUUUAGGAAUUAGAGACCGUAUUCAAACUUUAAGAACCUUUUUUUGGAAGCCUACAGGCUUCCUUUUGGCGCGAACCGAUUAUAGUAGCAUAAUGUACUAGUUGUAAAUAAAUAAAAGAUAUCACAUAAUAUAUUAUAUUCAUUAAAAAACCCGUGGUAACUUGGAAUUGUACAACAUAUGGAAGUAAUAAUUGUUCAACAAUGUGUAGCAAAAUCUAAGAUAUAUAGUGUAGAAAAAUAGCAAAUGAUCAGAAAGCUUACAAAUUACAAGAUAACUUUGCGAUCCUUGAUGCUUUGAAAAUGAGUGAUGAUGUCCUCGUCCGUAACUUGCAAGAAGAAUUCCCUUUAAACGAAUGUGACCAAGCAAUCAUUCAAGUAUUCCCUUGCAAAUUAUCUUGCCUGAACAAUUCGGAAUUGACUGCAAACAAGUCUCUAAUUUGUUUAGAUUUAAAUAAAUAGAAAGACAAGUGGUCAGACCAACUUGCUUAAACUUGUAGUAGUACGUCUGUACUGCAGCAUGCUCCCUGCUGGACACUGGAUAGCACGAGAAGAAAACUGUGUCCGUGCCAGCAGUGAUGGAUGGAUUCAGUUCGAUUAAGGAUCGGCAUGAGAGAGGAGAGAUCCCAAAUUCACAAGUUGAAGGAUCAAUGCAUCGAUCUAAUUAGUAGUCAUACCUUGGAUAGAUGAAUCUGUGGGUUGUGGCUUUGAAAUUGGAUCGAUGCCUGCUGCCCGCUGUGGGCUGCAGGGAUCAGAAGUUGAGGACCAAAGGGAGCGAGGGAUGGAUUCGUUGCGCCGCCGUGCGCACGCGCGAUCGCCGAUCAGGCGAUGGCAACAGACCUGGCGGCUCGCAUGGAACAGAGAAAGGGCUAGG
Molecule: long non-coding RNA, 7021 nt
Filed under: Triticum aestivum (bread wheat)
Lineage: Eukaryota; Viridiplantae; Streptophyta; Magnoliopsida; Poales; Poaceae
Description: long non-coding RNA (TAES_LNC004786)
Source: RNAcentral